Eleginops maclovinus (Patagonian blennie) is the source of this 240-nucleotide long non-coding RNA. RefSeq lists it as uncharacterized. Lineage: Eukaryota; Metazoa; Chordata; Actinopteri; Perciformes; Eleginopidae. The transcript has 2 exons. The record is from RefSeq and is a predicted model, not a curated record.
CCCUGUCUGUCUCACUUCACACCUGGCCGUCAUCUGCAAUCAUGCUCACCUGGUCGUCAUCUCCAAUCAACUCCCCUUCAUAAACCCUUGGAUUCCCUGCUGUCGGUGCCAGAUCGUACUUCGCUCUACAGUGUUAUCCGGAUCACGCAAUCCAGCUCGCCUGCCUCACCCUCCCCCCGGCUUCCGCGUCCUCUACCUGCUCCUCCACCUCAUUCAAUAAACCCUCUUGCAUCAAUUCAA